Molecule: non-coding RNA, 138 nt
Organism: Ornithorhynchus anatinus (platypus)
Lineage: Eukaryota; Metazoa; Chordata; Mammalia; Monotremata; Ornithorhynchidae
Source: Rfam
CCCCUCUCAGGAUUGGACCUGGAGAGUUUCCAGUACUCUACCAGUCUUGGCUGUGGGAGGGAGAAUCAAGCAGAGGCAUAACUAUUCCAUUGCUAGCUUGGGCAGUUGCUAGAGAGUGGAAGGGAAUCUGCUACAAGU